AUGCGCCAAGCCAGCUGAGUGGGUCUUUUUAUUUUUUUCGCGCGAAAGUUUAUGUGGUGAACUGUGUUGGUAAAGAUGAAGAUGUCAGUCAAUGAAAUUUGCUAUAUUUCUUGUGUCUAACUAACCCUGUACGGAUCGAACUGACGAUGUCCGAGUGCGACAAAUGUCCUGAAGUCUGCUCCUAUUAGCUAGGUAUCUAGAAAUUUCAACUUGAGUGUCAAGUGAAGACUUUGCCAGUUUCAGACGAGAGAAUUCUCGCUUCACGAUUUUCCUGGUGUGUGGAGGUACGUCUGAAUGCCGACCCACCACACCCGACAUGAUGCUUCGGCAGGAAUGCAGAAAGGAUCAUAUGUAGUGCCUGCUCAGCAUUACAUCCAUUGCGUGGCAGCAAUGUGCCAUCCUUCCGCGACUUGGGUGGAAUGACGCGCAAGUGGUGCUCCAGGGUCAACUUCAAUUUGCCGAGCACGUAUGCCGCUGGCUUGGGGUCAGCAGUUGGGUGCACAGUCCCUGUAUACAAAUCAUGCACUGUCGUCAACAAUAUGGCACCCUUGUCCAGCGAUUCACGUGCUAUAGCGGCAAUGACUAUAUUGGGAAGAUCACUCUCGGCACCUUCCGUGCUGUAUUGAGAGAUGAUGCUUCGCAAUUGGUGGUCUGUGCUUGGUGCACUGUCGGCAGGGAGCAUGUCAAUUUGCUUUCGGUAGCAGCAUCUACAAAAUCGACUCUCGUCUGAAAUCCUGACGUUGUGCAUGCUACGCAACACAUGCUCUGCAAGUUGAAAGUUUGGUGACUUCCACCUGUCCUGUGUUCUGGUGUGAGCCUCGACUUACACCAAGCACAUGUUGCAUGGCCCACACACUGCUGGUAACUUAUGGGCCGGGCACUGAACCGGUUCGCACUGUUCUUUCAGACUGUGCACGUGCAGUUUGUCUGCAGGACAGUGUACGGAUGCCGCUGCGCUGCAAUCAUGUACAUUGCAUGUACUUUGGCAGACUGGUGGCUUAUUUUCUUUCGCUGCUGUGCAUACUUGGCGUCGUAGUGCUUUGACGCACUUCCAACAAAUGCAUUGGCCUGGGCGUUCUCUCACAGACCACACACUGCUGGUAAUGGGUCGGGCACAGAACCGGUUCGCACUGUUCUUUCGGACUGUGCACGCGCAGUUUGUCUGCAGGACAGUGUACGGAUGCCGCUGCGCUGCAAUCAUGUACACUGCAUAUGCUUUGGCUGACUGGUGGCUUAUUUUCUUUCGCUGCUGUGCAUACUUGGCGUCGUAGUGCUUUGACGCACUUGCAAUAAAUGCAUUGGCCUGACGUGAUGGAUGUGCAUGUGUGUAGCUUUUGCCAAUCUGACAGCAUUGAGCCAUGUGUAAAUCGCUUGUCAGAUGGCACUUUGGAGCAAAUGCUGCAUUCUGG
Molecule: long non-coding RNA, 1409 nt
Organism: Sycon ciliatum
Lineage: Eukaryota; Metazoa; Porifera; Calcarea; Leucosolenida; Sycettidae
Exons: 2
Source: RefSeq, a predicted model, not a curated record